This 257-nucleotide ribosomal RNA is filed under the name uncultured bacterium. RNAcentral's name for it is "partial 16S ribosomal RNA". It matches the Rfam family "Bacterial small subunit ribosomal RNA", at positions 524 to 776 of the family's 1533-position model. The record is from RNAcentral.
UACAGAGACCUCAAGCGUUAUCCGGAAUCAUUGGGCGUAAAGCGUACCGAUAGGUGGUUUACCAAGUCAGAAGUGAAAUCUCCGAGCUCAACUCGGAAUCUGUCUUUUGAAACUGGUAGACUAGAGGGGCAAAGAGGAAGCUGGAACGAGCGGUGUAGUAGUGAAAUGCGUUGAUAUCGCUCGGAACACCAAUAGCGAAGGCGGGCUUCUGGGUGCCACCUGACACUGCUAGGACGAAAGCGUGGGGAGCGAAUGGG